This 528-nucleotide long non-coding RNA is filed under the name Physcomitrium patens. Its description in RNAcentral is "long non-coding RNA (PPAT_LNC002927)". Lineage: Eukaryota; Viridiplantae; Streptophyta; Bryopsida; Funariales; Funariaceae. The record is from RNAcentral.
UAAUGAAAUUUAAUCAAAUCCUAGAUCAAAUCUUAGUGAAAUCUUAAUGAAAUCUUAAAUCCUACACCAAUCUUAAUGAUUCUUAAUGAAACUCUUAUCAAAUCUUAAACAAACCUUAGAUAAAACUUAAUCAAAUUUUAGUCAAAUUGUAAUUAAAUCUUAAUCACAUUUUAAUCAAAUCCAAAAAAAAAUCCUAAGUCUUAAUCAAAUCUUUGAAAAAUCUUAAAUUUUAAUCAAAUCCUAAUCAAAUCCUAGAUCUUUAACAAAUCUUAAUCAAUUUCUAAUCAAUUUCUAAAUCUUAAUAAUACAAUAAUAAUUUAUAAAUUCAAAAACUACUAAUUGAACUAUUGAUUUUGACUCUAAAUUUUCAUACCUUGGAAUAAUUAAAAAAACAACAAGUACAAAAAAUUUGAAGAAGAUUACACAUAUCAAUAGCAAACAAAGCUCUCAAAACCUCUUGGUUGUUGGCUAUCCUUCUUUUCCAACUUGAAUGUUGAUCUUUUAAAAUAAUUUUUUUCUUGUUAAACU